GCUACCGGGGCGGAGGCGUACGGGGGCGGCGAGCGGGGCUCGGCUCCUCCUCGUCCCGCGCCAGCGCCGCGCCCGGCCGCAUUCUCGGGGCCCGAGGCUCAGCCGCUCGCGGUGGAGAAAGCAGGCCGCGGAGGAGGCGGGCGCCCAGGCCUGCCCGGACAGGAAGUGGGCCCAGCUUUCCCACUCCUCGCUCCGCUCCUUCCUCCGCGGGAAGGGCAGGCCCCGGAGGCAGCGAGCGCCCCGGGGGUGGCCGGGCAGCCGGAUGCUCCCGGGGUUGCGGGCUGUGGCCCCGGGGGCUGAGGGCGGCGCGGGUGCGGCGGAAGCAGGGAAGCCGCGAACCGGCCUUCUGGCUGGCCACAGCGCCCUGCACGGACGAUCAGUGAAUGGAGAUUACUCAAGUAUUUAUCGAGAACUUGCAGUGGGCUAGGCACAGUUCAGUUGAACCUUCGUCUUGUGAGGAACAGAAAGAUCAAGAACUCUGAAGCACCUCGACUUUCCACCUGUGAAGAUGUGUUCAAAUUUGCAACGUGCGGCCACACCUAUGAGGUCACUCCCUCUGGAGGAAACCAGCUGCCACUUUGUGAGGAUACUCAUAGUCCUGUGGAGGCAUAUCCUCCAUAUGGCUGAGACCUCCUGCGAACAACCAUCACUGACUUGCCAGACAUGAGUGUGCCACCUUGGAAGCAGAUUUUCCAGCCCCAGUUAAGCCUUCAGAUGACAUCAGCCCCUGCUAAUCUCUUGACUACAACCUCAUGAGAGACCCUGAGCCAGAACUAGCCAGGCUUACCCCUCAUGGUUACAAAGUGGCUGCAACAGCUCCAGGUGUUCUAUCCUUUAACACAGAAUAACUCAAACAACAAGACCCAAUAUUCAGACAAGAAGGAAAGGGACUUUUGGAGAGUGAAGAAAACUUUCCUAGAAACCUCAAACUUCUCCCCAUGCCUUAUUGGCCAGAUUGUAUCCCAUGCCCAUUUCUAAACCAAUCAUUGGCAAAGUGAGUGGAAUUGACGUGAUUAGAUUAACUUUACCAAGAAUGCAUCCUCAGAGAGGCUGAGAAAAAGUCCAGCCUCCUUUGAAGAGCCUGGCUACCUUUCACCUGAACAAAACAAGAAUUCUGAUGAAAAAUGGAGAAUGUAUGUGGAGCAGGCACCCGGAGUGUCUAUGCCAGGAUUUUUUUUCAGUGCGUUUCACCGGUUAUAUUUUUGUCUCUUUACCUUACAAGAUAUGUGGCACGUUUGCCUAAAACAAGCCUUGCUUUCUGAUUUCUGUGCACUAGGCACUUAAACCUUGCAAAUGUCGCUUACCUAACAGUCACUGUCAAGGAGUACCUGGCUAAAGAAUCUCCAGCUAGACAAAGUAGAAGUGUCUGUGCUCUGGCAGUUGAAUAUAUUGUAUCAGGCUCAACAGCACCUUUCACCAAAGGAUGAGACUUCACAACCAUUAGAUCUUCUUUUAUUUUGUUUUUAUUAAAAAAAAAAAUUUUAACACACCAUUGCUAACUUGAAGCCAUUAGAUCUUCUUACCCCCAAUACCACAAAAGUUUAGUGGAAUCAGGGGUAUACCAAGGCAGGUGGAGUAGGGGAGCUGGGAGUGGUCAGCCCCCAGGGCAGGCAAUGAGGGAUUGUGAAUCUGUGAAGAAUUUUAAAGCAAUGAUACAGCUCUAAAUGCAAUGUACUAUCCUGGACUUAGCCCUGGAAAAGAAAAAAGAUAUUAGUGGAAAAACUGGUAAAAUUCAAAUAAUGUCUGUAGUUUGGUUAAUAGUAUUAUACCAAUGUUAAUUUCUGUGUUUUGAUAAAUGUACCAUGGUUAUGUAAGCUGGAUGAAAGAUAUGUGGGAAAUCUCUCUACUAUUUCUGCAACUCUCCUGUAAACCUAAAAAUGUUUCAAAAUAAAA
This is a long non-coding RNA of Homo sapiens (human), 1893 nucleotides long. Ensembl annotates it as TRAM2 antisense RNA 1 (head to head). Its record names the gene TRAM2-AS1. Lineage: Eukaryota; Metazoa; Chordata; Mammalia; Primates; Hominidae. The record is from Ensembl.